RNAcentral lists this ribosomal RNA (593 nucleotides) under uncultured bacterium. RNAcentral's name for it is "bacterial SSU rRNA". It matches the Rfam family "Bacterial small subunit ribosomal RNA", at positions 67 to 649 of the family's 1533-position model. The record is from RNAcentral.
CGGCAGCACGAGGAGCUUGCUCCUUGGUGGCGAGUGGCGGACGGGUGAGUAAUGCGUAGGAAUCUACCCUAGAGUUGGGGACAACCCGCGGAAACGCGGGCUAAUACCGGAUACGCUCUGAGGAGUAAAGGUGGCCACUAUUUAUAAGCUAUCGCUUUGGGAUGAGCCUACGUCGGAUUAGCUAGUUGGUGAGGUAAAGGCUCACCAAGGCGACGAUCCGUAGCUGGUCUGAGAGGAUGAUCAGCCACACUGGGACUGAGACACGGCCCAGACUCCUACGGGAGGCAGCAGUGGGGAAUAUUGGACAAUGGGGGCAACCCUGAUCCAGCGAUGCCGCGUGUGUGAAGAAGGCCUGCGGGUUGUAAAGCACUUUAGUUGGGGAGGAAAGCCUUGAACUGAAUACGUUCAAGGGAUGACGUUACCCAAAGAAUAAGCACCGGCUAACUCUGUGCCAGCAGCCGCGGUAAUACAGAGGGUGCGAGCGUUAAUCGGAAUUACUGGGCGUAAAGGGCGCGUAGGUGGGUGGUCAAGUCAGCUGUGAAAGCCCUGGGCUCAACCUGGGAACUGCAGUUGAGACUGGCUGUCUAGAGUCG